RNAcentral lists this transfer RNA (63 nucleotides) under Cronobacter sakazakii. Its description in RNAcentral is "tRNA-Arg". It matches the Rfam family "tRNA", at positions 9 to 63 of the family's 71-position model. Rfam says of the family: Transfer RNA (tRNA) molecules are approximately 80 nucleotides in length. Their secondary structure includes four short double-helical elements and three loops (D, anti-codon, and T loops). The record is from RNAcentral. Lineage: Bacteria; Pseudomonadati; Pseudomonadota; Gammaproteobacteria; Enterobacterales; Enterobacteriaceae.
AGCUCAGCUGGAUAGAGUACUCGGCUACGAACCGAGCGGUCGGAGGUUCGAAUCCUCCGCAAA